RNAcentral lists this non-coding RNA (912 nucleotides) under Bothriechis guifarroi (Guifarro's palm-pitviper). Lineage: Eukaryota; Metazoa; Chordata; Lepidosauria; Squamata; Viperidae. The record is from RNAcentral.
AGGUCUUGGUCUUAAACCUCACAUUACCUAAAAUCAUCUGUCUAUACAUGCAAGCCUCCCCACAACGGUGAAAAGGCCACAACAACCCGAGCCGGCAUCAGUCUUCAUUUACCAUGACGCCAAGCAAAAGCCACACCCCCACGGGUAACACAGCAGUAACUAAUAUUAGGCCAUAAGUGAAAACUUGACCAAGCAAGAUGAAUACAGGGCCGGUUAAUCUCGUGCCAGCGACCGCGGUUACACGAUAGGCCCAAGGCAAUAUCAACGGCGUAAAGAUGACUAAAAUAGCCCGUCCCAAGCCUAGGGAAGAAGUAAGGCUAGGCUGUAAAAAGCUAUAAGCCACAGUAACCCCUCCCCCUAACACCAUUACGGCUUCAACUCACAAAAAUUAGGACACAAACUAGGAUUAGAUACCCUACUAUGCCCAACCGUAACACACAAUUAAAUUACCAAUUGUUCGCCAAACAACUACGAGUCCCACUUAAAACUUAAAAGACUUGACGGUACUUCACCACGCCCUAGAGGAGCCUGUCUAACAACCGACAACCCACGAUUAACCCAACCCCCUCUUGCCCAACAGUCUAUAUACCGCCGUCGCCAGCUUACCUUGUAAAAGAAAAAAAGUAAGCCAAAUAGCAUCACUAGCACGACAGGUCGAGGUGUAACUUAUGGGGGGGCCAAGAUGGGCUACAUUCUCAACCGAGCACACGGACAACACCAUGAAAUUGGUCUUCAAAGGCGGAUUUAGCAGUAAGACAGGAAUAGAAUACCUGACUGAACACAACGCAAUGAAGUGUGUACACACCGCCCGUCAUCCCUGCCACCACAACAUUAACCUUAACUAAACCAAUCAACAAAAUAAAACAGGGCAAGUCGUAACAUGGUAAGUGUACUGGAAAGUGCACUUAGAAA